CUGGGCUAGAAUGCCUCUGACAACCCUAGAGAUAGGGCUUCCUAGGGAAACCUAGGCAGAGUGCAAGGUGCUGCAUGGCUGCCGUCAGCUCGUGUCGUGAGAUGUUGGGUUAGGUCCCGCAACGAGCGCAACCCUUAUCGAUAGUUGCUAGCGGUUCGGCCGAGCACUCUAUUGAGACUGCCGUUGACAAAACGGAGGAAGGUGGGGAUGACGUCAAGUCCUCAUGGCCUUUAUGUCCAGGGCUACACACGUGCUACAAUGGCAAGUACAAAGCGCUGCAAACUCGCGAGAGGGAGCCAAUCGCAAAAAGCUUGUCUCAGUUCGGAUUGGAGUCUGCAACUCGACUCCAUGAAGCUGGAAUCGCUAGUAAUCGCAGAUCAGCACGCUGCGGUGAAUACGUUCCC
This 404-nucleotide ribosomal RNA is filed under the name uncultured bacterium. Its description in RNAcentral is "bacterial SSU rRNA". It matches the Rfam family "Bacterial small subunit ribosomal RNA", at positions 975 to 1375 of the family's 1533-position model. The record is from RNAcentral.